Molecule: ribosomal RNA, 450 nt
Filed under: uncultured bacterium
Lineage: Bacteria
Description: partial 16S ribosomal RNA
Rfam family: Bacterial small subunit ribosomal RNA
Source: RNAcentral
GUGGGGAAUAUUGGACAAUGGGCGAAAGCCUGAUCCAGCCAUGCCGCGUGUGUGAAGAAGGUCUUCGGAUUGUAAAGCACUUUAAGUUGGGAGGAAGGGCAGUAAGUUAAUACCUUGCUGUUUUGACGUUACCGACAGAAUAAGCACCGGCUAACUUCGUGCCAGCAGCCGCGGUAAUACGAAGGGUGCAAGCGUUAAUCGGAAUUACUGGGCGUAAAGCGCGCGUAGGUUGUUUUGUAAGUUGGAGGUGAAAUCCCCGGGCUCAACCUGGGAACUGCCUCCAAAACUGCAUGACUAGAGUACGGUAGAGGGUAGUGGAAUUUCCUGUGUAGCGGUGAAAUGCGUAGAUAUAGGAAGGAACACCAGUGGCGAAGGCGACUACCUGGACUGAUACUGACACUGAGGUGCGAAAGCGUGGGGAGCAAACAGGAUUAGAAACCCCUGUAGUCC